Molecule: ribosomal RNA, 442 nt
Filed under: uncultured soil bacterium
Lineage: Bacteria
Description: bacterial SSU rRNA
Rfam family: Bacterial small subunit ribosomal RNA
Source: RNAcentral
AGAACGAACGCUGGCGGCAUGCCUAACACAUGCAAGUCGAACGGGACCUUCGGGUCUAGUGGCGCACGGGUGCGUAACGCGUGGGGAUCUGCCCUUAGGUACGGAAUAACAGUUAGAAAUGACUGCUAAUACCGUAUAAUGACUUCGGUCCAAAGAUUUAUCGCCUAGGGAUGAACCCGCGUAGGAUUAGCUUGUUGGUGAGGUAAAGGCUCACCAAGGCGACGAUCCUUAGCUGGUCUGAGAGGAUGAUCAGCCACACUGGGACUGAGACACGGCCCAGACUCCUACGGGAGGCAGCAGUGGGGAAUAUUGGACAAUGGGCGAAAGCCUGAUCCAGCAAUGCCGCGUGAGUGAUGAAGGCCUUAGGGUGUAAAGCUCUUUACCCGGAUGAUAAUGACAGUACCGGAGAAUAAGCUCCGGCUAACUCCGCACCAGCAGCCGC